This 253-nucleotide ribosomal RNA is filed under the name uncultured bacterium. RNAcentral describes it as "partial 16S ribosomal RNA". It matches the Rfam family "Bacterial small subunit ribosomal RNA", at positions 524 to 776 of the family's 1533-position model. The record is from RNAcentral.
UACGUAGGGGGCAAGCGUUGUCCGGAUUUAUUGGGCGUAAAGAGCGUGUAGGCGGUUAUGCAGGUCCGCUGUGAAAACUGGAGGCUUAACCUCCAGACGUCGGUGGAAACCGUAUAACUAGAGGCCGGAAGAGGAGAGUGGAAUUCCUGGUGUAGCGGUGAAAUGCGCAGAUAUCAGGAAGAACACCCGUGGCGAAGGCGGCUCUCUGGGACGGUACUGACGCUGAUGCGCGAAAGCCAGGGGAGCGAACGGG